RNAcentral lists this unclassified non-coding RNA (207 nucleotides) under Glomus sp. RNAcentral's name for it is "partial contains 5.8S ribosomal RNA and internal transcribed spacer 2". The stretch from base 1 to 71 matches the Rfam family "5.8S ribosomal RNA", at positions 84 to 154 of the family's 154-position model. Lineage: Eukaryota; Fungi; Glomeromycota; Glomeromycetes; Glomerales; Glomeraceae. The record is from RNAcentral.
GUGAAUCAUCAAAUUUUUGAACGCAAAUUGCACUUUCUGGUAUUCCAGAAAGUAUGCCUGUUUGAGGGUCAGUUAAAUUAAAAUCGGGUUUGUUGCUGCUUUUCGGUGUUACGGGUCGGAAUUGAGUUGGCUUACCUUCGGGUAAGGGAACUUAAAUUUUGCAUUAUUUUUUUACGUAUGUAAUUUUCUUAUGUAAGGUUGAGAUAU